AUUGAACGCUGGCGGCAUGCCUUACACAUGCAAGUCGAACGGUAACGCGGGGCAACCUGGCGACGAGUGGCGAACGGGUGAGUAAUAUAUCGGAACGUGCCCAGUAGUGGGGGAUAGACCGGCGAAAGCCGGAUUAAUACCGCAUACGACCUAUGGGUGAAAGCGGGGGAUCGCAAGACCUCGCGCUAUUGGAGCGGACGAUAUCAGAUUAGCUAGUUGGCGGGGUAAAGGCCUACCAAGGCGACGAUCUGUAGCUGGUCUGAGAGGACGACGAGCCACACUGGAACUGAGACACGGCCCAGACUCCUACGGGAGGCAGCAGUGGGGAAUUUUGGACAAUGGGGGCAACCCUGAUCCAGCCAUGCCGCGUGCGGGAAGAAGGCCUUCGGGUUGUAAACCGCUUUUGUCAGGGAAGAAACGGCUUUCUCUAAUACAGAGGGCUAAUGACGGUACCUGAAGAAUAAGCACCGGCUAACUACGUGCCAGCCGCCGCGGUAA
This 498-nucleotide ribosomal RNA is filed under the name uncultured bacterium. RNAcentral describes it as "partial 16S ribosomal RNA". It matches the Rfam family "Bacterial small subunit ribosomal RNA", at positions 29 to 523 of the family's 1533-position model. The record is from RNAcentral.